GAUACCCACAUGAACGAAACCAACAGAGACGGGAUCGCACACGGCUCCUCGACGGAAAAAAGACCAGCGGAGGCACGGCGAAUCCAAGCCAAUUCCGGCUCCCAGCUCCGCAAGCCUCUUUGCUCUCUCCUGCCCGCCUCCAUGCCGUCGCCCUCGCUCCGCCUCGCCGUCGUCGGCGCGGGCGCGGCCGGCCUGGCGGCGGCACGGGAGCUCCGCCGCGAGGGCCACGCCCCCGUCGUCUUCGAGCGCGCCGCCGCCGUGGGGGGCACCUGGCUCUACGCCUCCCCCGCCCCCGCAGCCGCCGCCGACCCGCUCGGCGCCGCCGCCACCCACUCCAGCCUCUACGCUUCGCUCCGCACCAACCUCCCCCGCGAGGUCAUGGGCUUCCUCGACUUCCCCUUCACCGCGGCGCGCGGCUCCGUCGUCGACGCGCGCAGGUUCCCCGGCCACCAGGAGGUGCUUCGGUACCUCGAGGACUUCACGCAGCGGUUCGACCUUUACGGGCUCGUCCGGUUCCAGACGGAGGUGGUCGGGGUCCGGAGGGAGGCCGGCGGGAGGUGGGCGGUGACGUCGAGGAAGCUCGGGGAGAAGGGGGAGCAGGACGAGGAGCUGUAUGAUGCCGUCGUGGUUUGCAAUGGCCAUUAUUCAGAGCCUCGCGUCGCCUCCAUACCUGGUGAUCUGUACUUUCCAACAUUGACAGGUGCAGAUGCCUGGCCUGGAAAGCAGAUGCAUAGCCACAAUUACCGUGUGCCUGAGCCAUUCCUUGAUCAAGUAGUGAUCGUUAUUGGGGCCUCGGCAAGUGCAGUUGACAUUUCGAGGGACAUUGCAAGCGUUGCGAAGGAGGUCCAUAUUGCCGAUAGAUCAGCGCCGACUUCCACUUGUGAACAGCAGCCUGAAUAUGACAACAUGUGGCUUCAUUCCAUGAUUGACCAUGCACAGGGAGAUGGCACUGUGGUGUUCCAGGAUGGCAGCUCAAUCAAAGCGGAUGUCAUCAUGCACUGUACUGGCUACCUGUAUGACUUCCCGUUUCUUGGGGAUGAUAGCACCAUCACUGUGGAUGACAACUGCGUUGAUCCAUUAUACAAGCAUGUUUUCCCUAUAGAAGUGGCUCCUGAUCUGUCUUUCAUCGGAGUGCCGUGGAAGGUUAUCCCUUUUCCACUGGUUGAACUCCAAAGCAAAUGGGUCGCCGGUAUUCUAUCUGGACGGAUCAAGCUUCCAUCGAAAGAUGAAAUGAUGGAAGAUGUCAAAGCCAUCUACUCGAGACUGGAAACUCGUGGAUGGCCCAAGAGAUAUACCCACAACUUCAGUGGUGGUUAUCAGUUCGAAUACGAUGAUUGGCUCGCGGAGCAAUGUGGCCAUCCACCUAUUGAAGAAUGGAGGAAGCUGAUGUAUGCUGCUAAUGCGAAGAAUAAGGCUGCUCGUCCGGAAAGAUACCGCGAUGAGUGGGAUGAUGAUGGUCUGGUGGCACUAGCAAAUGAGGACUUCAAAAAAUACUUCUAAUCUAUGUUGUGGACUGUGAUUAUCAUUUUCAUUGCCAGGACGCGGUGAUAAUCAUUGCAGUAAUUAUUUUACAGCAAUACAAGCGCUCGUACGACAAAAUAAGUUGGUCUAUGAUUUUCGCAUUAGAUGAUGGUUACGCAAAUAAGAUAAAAUUGGAAGGCCCUUCAAUUCUGCAUUCUUGUGCAUAAAAGAAUUCCCUACAGGACCCGGUGAAGCGGUUGCAUCAACGCAAGAUGAAGCAGGCAUAGCCACCAAAUUGGUCCUAGCGGCACGCUGUAACGGCCCCCGAGUUUUAGUUUCGCCUCGGGCCUCUAAAAUCCCAUGACCGGCCCUGCUCCAUUGGGGUAUGUGAUCACAACUUAUGUUCUUGUUUUGAUAAAGCACAAAAGCACAACGUGGAGGCAAGAUUCCUUUGGUCGAUCUUCCUAUCAACCGGGUGUCUGCACGAGUGCACCGAAAUCAGUGGCCCAAGCCGGACUGCAUUGUCGGUCCAUGGUUCUUAUGUGCAAGAAACCAGCGAGAGGGAGUACUGGGACGUGUUCAAAAGCAAGGUGACCCCCUCCCCCACCCCCCAAAGUCAGGAUCGGCAAAGAGGUCGGGUGACGUCCCGCAUAGCGACAAGAUGGCGUUCAGUGCUGGACAAUGAUUUACUUCUUUCGUCCCAAGAUUCUUGUCUUAAAUUUGUCUAAGUACGGAUGUAUCAAGCGACGGAGGAAGUAUAUCUGUAGAGGCAUGAGAGCACGGGUAACAUCGAAGCAGGCAUGCAUCACUGUCAUCUAGAGCAUGGCAGCGACAAUGUUAUUGCUGGAGGCUCGAGUGCCCGGCAUGAUGAUGAAAAUGAAGCUGGAAUGGAAUGGCGCCAGAGCAGGAGGACGAGACGAGUAUGUACCAGACAAAAAGAUACAAAUUUCUACUAUAUGACAAUCAAGAGGACAAGAUUUGAUGUCUAUUAACCUCGCCAAACUUUACUAGAGGACAAGAUUUUUUCGGGUGACAAUGUACGGGCAUUCCUUUAGUAUAUUAUAAUAGCUUUUGAUGUCUAUUAACCUCGCCAAA
Molecule: RNA transcript, 2556 nt
Organism: Triticum aestivum (bread wheat)
Lineage: Eukaryota; Viridiplantae; Streptophyta; Magnoliopsida; Poales; Poaceae
Gene name: flavin-containing monooxygenase FMO GS-OX-like 5
Exons: 9
Source: RefSeq, a predicted model, not a curated record